CCAAAUUGAUCAAAAAUACCAAUUUCACUUUAAUUACCCAUUACUCACCAACUAGUUUCGUCCGUCUUUCAGCACUUUGAACCCUAAAGCUUUUCUUUUCAAGAUAUUUUUUAUUUCUUCCAACUGUUUGUUCUGCCUUGCAAUUUUCCUAUUUUAAAAUAUCAACGUGACUUGUCUGUACUUUGAAAAAUUGAAAACUCAUUUUUCCUAGUUUUCAAAUUUGUGUCCAUAUUUUCCGGCAUGAAAAGCUUUGGGUCACUCACCGUCGAACUUCCUAUUCCGGUGAGUACAAGACCAAGACCAAGAGUAAUCUGCAUGCAGAGAUUUGUCCCCGAACGUCUAAUAAAUGCUAAAGCUGUUAGGUCACAUCAUUUCAAGCUUGAAAAGCUAAAGGUGCUGAGAAGUUCGAGUAGGAGAAAAGUCAGUUUCUUUGCCAAUGCAGAGGACCGGUUAUCCAACAGCGAGCUUGAGGAAGAUGGUUCUGAGCAAGAAAGUGAACAUCCUAGUGUUGAAUACAUUGCCUCUGUCAGUAGUUCAAAUGCCCAACUUGAAGGUGCUGGUGGUAAGCCUGGCAUACUAUCAUUCUACAAUCAUCCUUACAGAAGGGAGGAGAAAAUCCUUGUAUCCGCUGCUGCAAAGAACCAGAACAUUCUGCUGUGGUUUGUUGGCCCAGCUGUCCUUGUUGCCUCUUUCAUCUUUCCCUCGCUUUACUUGCGCAGGAUUUUAUCAACUAUAUUUGAGGACUCUUUAUUAACUGAUUUCCUCAUCUUGUUCUUCACAGAGGCUAUCUUUUACUGUGGAGCAGCAGUGUUUCUUCUCUUAAUAGAUCGUUUAAGGAGACCGCUUGAGCUAGUAUCUUCUGACAGGAGAAUUACCCCACCACUCGGAUAUAGAAUAUCUUCAAUUUCUGUACUAGUACUUAGUCUAAUAAUUCCAAUGGUGACCAUGGGGUUUGUCUGGCCAUGGACGGGUCCUGCAGCUUCUGCUACUCUUGCCCCCUACCUUGUUGGUAUUGUUGUGCAAUUUUCUUUUGAGCAGUAUGCAAGAUAUAUUGACUCACCUUCAUGGUCUGUUAUCCCCAUUGUUUUUCAGGUUUACAGACUGCAUCAGCUGAAUAGGGCAGCACAACUAGUAACAGCCCUUUCUUUGACAGUAAGAGGAGCAGAGAUGACUGCCCAAAACAUGGCAAUAAAUGGCUCAUUGAGCACACUUCUUAAUGUCCUUCAAUUUCUUGGGGUGAUUUGUAUUUGGUCGCUUUCUAGCUUCAUCAUGAGAUUUUCCCCUUCAUCUACUAUGGCUAAGGGGUAAGACAUGGUUCAGGUCAUCACUAAAUACUACGGAAUGUCUGCAGUUGCUAUCGUCUAGUUGGUUGUUUGCAAAUGCCACAGGUCUUUUGUGGUUGCCAUGGUUAUUUCUUCAGAUGGUUCCUGUUGUUGACUUUAUCUUUGUUGAUUCUGGAAGAACAUGAACAUGGAAGCCUUUCCGACAUUCUGCCGAAAAUUCUUGGCAAAUGAAGGAAUGCAAGGUAUAGGGCUGCUGAUACCUUGUCACCUGUUCUGUAUUUGGUUCAAUAGGCUGUGAAUUCGGACAUCACUAGAUAGGCGAAUCUGAUGAUCUCGUCAAUAACUCAGUGGACAACAACAUGCUCCUGUAGCAGAUAUUCAAAAAAGAAAUGCUUUUGGGUGUCUGGUAUAUGAAGGAAAAUGUUUUCAUGAAAAAAAGUGGGUUCUUGUUUUUUUAGCGUUUGGGAAGUACUCAAAAGGUAUUUGUUCCAAGAGCAUUUAUAUGUAAUUUGACACAACACUUUUAGGGUGAGAUGGAGUGGGAAUUGGGGAUGUAGCCGGGUAGGAAGAUGAAGGGGUGUGGGUUGGAAGAGUUGAGUUUGUGAGGAGACAGUGAACUUGUCCUGCUUUCUAGAUUAGCAGAGUCAUGGUGAAAUACAUUCACAAGCAAAAGGCGCACAGAUUUUGUAAUUACCCGUAGUCCAUGGCACGUUUAUGGCUAAGUUGAUCUCGAUGAAAUUACUUGAAUUUGAAUGAUUUGGGUUAUAUGUGAUCCUAUCAACUUAAAGGGGUCGUUUGGUAGAGUGUACUAAAAAUAUAAUACACGCAUUAUUCUUUGUGUAUUAAUAAUACCAUGUUUGGUAUCAUUUUUUAGACUAUGCAUAACUAAUACUUGCAUUAGUUAUACACAGUAUUGUGUUUUAAGGUGUGUGUUAUUAAUACUCAUCGUUUCCUAUGUAUUCGUAAUACCAAGUAUUUCAACGCAUGUAUUAAUUUGUAAAUGACAAAUUUACCCCUCAAAGCUCUACUAAAACAUUUCCCCCAAAUUUUUUUUCCACGGUUCUUUGCUGCAGCUUUCAACAAUGAAAAAGAAAAAUUCAAUGACUAAAUUUUUCCUCAAAUCUCUACUAGAAUAUUCAUGUUCCUUGUAUUUUACCUUUAUUCUUGUACUUUGUCUUCUCUUCUCUUCUUUACACUGCCAUGAAAAAAUAUGAAAAAUUUUCACCGCAUCUUCUUCUUCUUUUCAUAUAAUUAGACAUUGUUUGCUCUUCUACACUAGAAUUAAAUGUUCUGUUAUUGGGAGCUUGAAUGUGAAAUUGGAUUCUUUGUUUUUGAAGAUUGUUUUUGAAUUUUUUGUUGCUUAAUUUUUCAUGCUAAUCUGUAAAAUCAUGACUAUUUUUGGUGAUUUUCUAAAGUUGUGCAUAAAAAUUGUUUAAUUCCCUCAUGUUCCAACUAUCUUCUGUAUGAGGAAUUGCAAAAUCAAAGUUUGUCAUACAAACUUUUUUUAUGGAAAGGGAAUGGAUAUAAACUGUUUGAGGAGUUGAUGGACAAUGAAGUCCAAUUCGUUUGUUUGGGAACGAAAGUGGAGAGGGUAUUUUAGUCAUACAAAAUAUUUUUUAUAAAAAUUAUACAACAUAUAUUAUUUUUAAUACAUCAAACCAAACACUGCAUAAGAAAAAUACAAGCAUAACUAACGCAGGUAUAACUAACACAAGCAAUAUAUAUAUAUAUAUAUAUUACACUCUGGGAAGGUUAAAAAUCACGUGUCUACAAACAGGUAUCUUCUUAAAGGUUUUGCUGACACUUCAACAUAUACUAAUGCAGAUAUUUUUGAGAUAGUAUCUAGGUGUGAUUACCUUGGUUGCUUAUUCUUGGCUUUUAGUAGUUGUAAUCUUCUCUUUUUUUAUACCCUUUGGUAAGUAAAAGGUACGUAAGGAACUUGGAGUAACUAGUAUAGUUGUUGCCCUGCCAUGUGACCGAGAGGUCAUGGGUUUAAGCCGAACAACCUCUGGCAGAAAUGUAGGAUAAGAUUGCCGUAAUUGACCCUUACGGUCUAGUCCUUCUGCGGACCCCGUACAUAGCAGGAGCUUUAAUGCACCGGCUGCCCAUAAGUAACGGGUAUGCAGUAUUGCAGAGUGCUAAGUGAACUUAUGAUGCAGUAGUCAGUUUCCAGAAUUGGGUCAUAAGACAGUCAAAUGUCCUUUUGAAAUUUUUAAUAAUAGUGUGGGUCUGUUUGUAGUGUGGAAACUUGGCUCUUUUUAGUAAGCAGUGAACAGUGAACUUGGCUCUGUUUGUAGUGUGGAAACUUGGUUCUUAUUACUCUUUUUAGUUCCAGGCAGAGUAAGAAACUUGCAUUUUCCUAGUUCUUGUCCUUCACUAUUUUUUCAUUUUCUUUCUCAUGGAUUUUUGCUACAGUGAAAUUAGGACUAGUGAUAAUUUCUAUGUAAUUAAAGCAUGUAAUACGAAUUGUUUUGGAAAGAAAUCUGCAAGAAAAUAAUUCAAUCAAGCAUGUUUGCAGUUGAGAUAAUGCUAUUACCGUGUGUGUUUUUGGUGUUUGUAUGGGUAUUGCAUUUAUGAUAAUUGUUUCCCGGACAUUGAAAUUAGGACUCUAGCUGUUAUUGUUGUGUAAUUAGAGUACGAAAGUGCUGUUUUAUUUUGGAAAGAAAUCUACAUGAAAAUAAUUUGAGGAUAGGCAUAUAUAUGGUUGAUAGCUUCAAAUAAAGGCAUUCAGCUUCAUCGAUGUUCAAAUUUUCUCUUUGUCGGGUAACUCCAACAUCCUGCAUAUGGCAAGGCCUCUAAGGGGAUGGGGUGGUCUCGGUUGGAGUCAUGAUCGAACAUGCCGCUUGCUUGGUGGGCUUAGUUUAGAAAUAAAGUUGCGCGCUUGCUAUUAGCUAUAGUUUAUGGCAUGAUGGUAAGCGCUUGAUCCUAACAAAGUUCUUCACGUCUAAAAGUGGUAAAAAAGUAGUCACCCCUUUACCAUCUGGACUUUUACGCUGUUGCUUUUUCGGUCAGAUAGCAUGAUCGUUAACAUACUGGGAUGAGGUGGCAAAGGGGUGACCAUGACAGUGAUGUUUUUCAUUAGUGUUGUUCUUUUUUGUGAUGCAAGUGCAUGCUUUACUUGUUCCUGCUUAAGUUUGUCCGACAUAUUUGAAGAAAAGGUGGGUUUCUUUCAGUUUUGGCCGUUUGCUUGCAAUUUUCAGCUCUUCAUGCCUUUCGCUAUGUCCCCGUCCUAGAAGAUGGCACUUCAAUUCAUGCUCUGAGGUGGUUAUCACUUGAAAUACCACACAAGUCCAUUCUGUUUAAACAUUUUUUACAGAAUUAGUUUCUGAGAGUUUAAUCUCCUCGACAUCCACUGGAAGUGUUGUUCCCUUGAACUGCAUAGCUGUUGGUUUCUUCUCAAUCUGAAUUAGCUUUUCCUUCACACUAUUAAUCUGUAGUUCCACAGAUGAUAUUUUAAUCACAGGCAUACAGACUACUUUUACUCCAGAGCCACUGAUUAUCUCUUAAGUGUUUGCAAUGUGAUAUUGUGAUGCUUACAUCCCUGUGCUGAUCUUAUUUAAAAAAAACAAUAUCUCGGUUUCUCACUGCUGACUGCUGGUACCUAUAUGUUUCUCUUUCUCCUACAUGUUUUUCCCUUGUUUCGGUUUCUCUCCAUCCAUAUAACAAGGGUUGGUGGGACAAAAAUCGCCAUUUGUCAUCAUGCUUAAAGGCUUAUUUUCUCUUGUGAGAUGAUUAGCAUUGGAAUGUGCUGAAAGAAAUAGUUGAAAGAUAUAUCAUGCACAUGAAUAUUGAUAUCUUGCAAUAUGGGGAAGGGGGUGUCAAGAGCAUUUCUUAGAAUAUCUAUCAAUCAGGUGUUCUUUCUGCAAUUGAGACGUUCCAAUCUCAUGAACAGCACGCCAUAAGCAAAACUAUUUGCAACACAAGCACCUGCUGUGCUUUAAAUGGUCUCUCUGUGCCUGUUUUAUGUUUACUUAAGCCAUUGAAGACUAGACAAGAUUGUUAAUACCACCUGAAUUACCCUCUGGGUAGAGUUAAUUGGAUAUUGUGUUGCGAGCUUACCAUGACACUUAAGACAUGCACUUCUAAGUGACCAGUUGCUACAUUUUUAGUCCGGAACAUAAAGUCUACACUUUAACAUAUCAUGAAGAAAUAACAGUACAAAUUUUCAAAAAACAUAUGAAGAAAAUUGAAGAGAUAGCUCUCAGAUAUCUGUGUACUACAAUUACUCUACGGUCUCAAUUUAGUCAGUAUAAUGUUAUUGUGACAUCAUAUGAUGUUAUUCGCAAAGAUGUUGAUUAUCUUAGGCAGCUCCUUCUAGAACUAUUGCAUUCUAAAUGAGGGACAUAUCAUAAAGAAUUCUAAGUCGAAAAGAACAGUUGCUGUUAACAGCAACUGAAGGCACAGCGUCGCCUCAUUCUGAGUGGAACGCCAAUACAGGUGUGUUUGUGCUAGUAGUUCAACCACAUUUGAAUAUUUACAACAAUUCAAUGGGUGCUUAUCAGUUCAGUCAGUUAAAUUGUACUUUUCCUGUGAUUGAUAUGUUGUUCACUGUGUCCAACAAUUCAAGUGUUUUUGUUCAACUUAUGCCCCUUAAAAGUUGGAUCUGGGUGGGAGUAUGUACAAUGAAGCUGGUACUACUUUCCAUUCUUCGAGUCAUGGACUAACCUACGCUUUAAUCUUCCUUCCGUCACAUUUUCUUGAUGCUGAAGCAGGUAUGCUUGCUAUGGAAGCAUUGCACAAGCAGGUGAUGCCUUUUCUCUUUCGUCGGACUAAAGAUGAAGUCUUAUCUGAUCUGCCAUAGAAAAUUAUUCAGGAUGGAUACUGUGACCCGAGUCCUGUUCAGUUAAAACUCUAUGAACAAUUUUCUGGUUCACAUGUAAGGCAAGAAAUUUCGCCAAAAAAAUUAUUUUUAUAUUUGUGGAGCAUAGAAAUGAUGAUGAAUUUUUAAAAUAUUUUGAUAUACGUAUUUGGUUUUGUGUGGAA
This is an RNA transcript of Capsicum annuum, 6266 nucleotides long. RefSeq lists it as uncharacterized. The record is from RefSeq and is a predicted model, not a curated record. The transcript is spliced from 7 exons. NCBI's taxonomy places the organism in Eukaryota, Viridiplantae, Streptophyta, Magnoliopsida, Solanales, Solanaceae.